AUGCUGAGCUGUGCUGGCACCUUCCUCCCCUCUGCUUUCAGCUGUGCCCUGCCACACGGAGGGCUUGGAUCCAGAAUUCCUGCUGGGAGCACCACGGGGCCAGGCCAGCUCCUUAUGACACAAAGUGCCUUUCCUGGAGCUCCCUCUGGCACAGCCAGGGAGCCUCCUGGGGUGGGAGGUGUUGCUGUGCUGGGAACGGGCAGAGCAAAGCUGGAGCUGCCCAGACCCCAAACCUGGAGCUGCCCAGACCCCAAACCUGGAGCUGCCCAGAUCCCAACUGGAGCUGCCCAGAUCCCAGGGGAUCCUCUGGGAUCCCUCCCUCCACAGGAGUGGCUUGGGGAGCAGUUUUCACUCCAGUCCUGGCCAGCCCAAGGAAAGCUGCUCCAGAGGCACAGGAGCAGUUCCCAGAGGAUGUGGGAGGUGUGGGGAGGACACAAACCCUGUCACCACUUGGCUGUGGGACAUGCAAGUGCUGCUGCCAUGGGGCAAGCAUUCAGGAGAGCCUUCCUCCUCCUCCUCCUCCUCCUCCUCCUCCUCCUGCUGCUGGGACAAUGCCAGCUGCUGCAGCAGGACAGGAGCCAUCUCCUUCCAGUUUUCCAUCCUCUUUCCAGCCAGCAGGAGCACUGACACCUCUGGCUGAGGCCAGGUGCUGUAGGGGAGUUAUUUUGGAGGGAAUUGCAGGCAGGUGAGGAUCAUCCCCUGCAGAUCAAGGCACCUCAGACCCCCCCCAAACCCAAACCCAAACUCAGGAGACCUCCUGGAGCAGGGGGGCACCAAUCCUCCCAAACCAGAGCAUCCAGCUCCACAUGGGCGUUUUAAAAGCAAUUUUCUCCCCUUUUAGCACCAAGUGAUCACACCCAGAGCCCGGAGCAGGGCUUGGGCUGCUCUUUGUGGGGCUUGGCCCCAGCUCUGCAGGCAGGGGUGGCACAGAGGGGACAGGAACACCCCAACACUCCUGCAAAAGGCUCCUUUUUCAAUCACAGCAGAAGAAUGACUUAGAUUUGCUGGUAGAAGGAGCUGGUGGGAGCCAGGCACCUUCCCAAGGGAGGGCCACCCAUUCCAGGCCAUGCCAGGCUCCCAAGGAAGGAGAUUCCCACGAUUACCAAGGAAGGAGACGUUCGCUGUCUGGUGGGGUCUUUAGCCAUGUGCACUUAGUCAGUAGGUGAGUAGAUGUUGCUGCCCGUAUCUAUCUCCCCUACCCAGUUGCUACGUGUGAACAAGUGUAUUUCUCCCCAGUGUUGUGGGUUCUGCCUGUGGUGACACGAGGAUGGAAAAGGCAGGGAUGACCUCGAGCUUCCUCCUGUACAGGGUAGAGAGGAAACCUGGAUGGAUCCGAGGCACCGCUUGUAACUACAUUUGUUCAAGAAAUGUCAUCUUAACCCCAAACUGUUGACACUUUAUGCAUGUGCUAAUUAAAUUUAAAAUAAAAAAAAAAAAGGGAUUAAUAAAAAAAUUAAU
Molecule: long non-coding RNA, 1458 nt
Filed under: Parus major (Great Tit)
Lineage: Eukaryota; Metazoa; Chordata; Aves; Passeriformes; Paridae
Description: lncRNA (ENSPMJG00000012210.1)
Source: RNAcentral